GAAGGCCCAGACAGCCAGGAUGUUGGCUUAGAAGCAGCCAUCAUUUAAAGAAAGCGUAAUAGCUCACUGGUCGAGUCGGCCUGCGCGGAAGAUGUAACGGGGCUAAACCAUGCACCGAAGCUGCGGCAGCGACACUGUGUGUUGUUGGGUAGGGGAGCGUUCUGUAAGCCUGUGAAGGUGUGUCGUGAGGCAUGCUGGAGGUAUCAGAAGUGCGAAUGCUGACAUAAGUAACGAUAAAGCGGGUGAAAAGCCCGCUCGCCGGAAGACCAAGGGUUCCUGUCCAACGUUAAUCGGGGCAGGGUGAGUCGACCCCUAAGGCGAGGCCGAAAGGCGUAGUCGAUGGGAAACGGGUUAAUAUUCCCGUACUUGGUGUUACUGCGAAGGGGGGACGGAGAAGGCUAUGUUGGCCGGGCGACGGUUGUCCCGGUUUAAGCGUGUAGGUGUGUGUUCCAGGUAAAUCCGGUUCACUUUAACACUGAGGCGUGA
This 486-nucleotide ribosomal RNA is filed under the name Salmonella enterica. RNAcentral describes it as "partial 23S ribosomal RNA". It matches the Rfam family "Bacterial large subunit ribosomal RNA", at positions 1079 to 1566 of the family's 2925-position model. Lineage: Bacteria; Pseudomonadati; Pseudomonadota; Gammaproteobacteria; Enterobacterales; Enterobacteriaceae. The record is from RNAcentral.